UAAACCGAGAUAUUAAUCUCUACGCCGCCUACCUCACCUCAUUUCUAUGAGCCAGUUUUUUCGCCAAAUCCCAAAAGGGGGAAAAAAGAAAAAAAUCAGCCAGCGACGUCGUUUCCCUAAUAAACACAGAAUUAGGGCUUUACCGCCCUCCCCCUUUUGAACUCGUCCCAACUUUCUGAAAUCAUCUCCUUUUAUCAGGCGGUUGCUUUAUGUGGAUCUCCUUAGCGCUCAUGAGAAGUUUACAAGCUUUCUGGGAUCCCAAGAAAUUGAUGCCUGUUGCUGACCCCCCCUCCCCCCCAUCACUGCUCGUGCUUAAAGCCAUUAUUUUUUUCUGGCUCCCAAAAUGAGGUGAAAGAGGAAUGCUGAAUUUGAAAAACGAACUUCACUACCUUGUUGAUUGGUUUCAAAGUGCAAUCAAUGAAAACAUGGUGUUGGCUUUUGAUGCUAUCAAAAACCGUACCUGGUAGACCUCCCGAACUUGAGGACUGAAAAAGAGCACGAACAGAGUCUUUUGAUACCUGAAACAAAGGCAACGAAGUGUGUUCUCGUCGUCCCUCCGAUGCUUAAGUCAGACAGAGAAUUUAUAUGAGAACAUAUACUGAAAUUGUAUGUAAAAGCAUACCUGAAUAAUGGACUUGGGUCAUGUAUUUAUAGAGGUAGGUAGUGUACUUCUAGUAAGAUUGAAUUAGUUGCAUAUUCUUAUCCAAUAGAGUCCUACUUGAUAAGAGUGUUUUAUUUGUAAUAUAAUUGCAUGAGCAAUGACGCUAUUGUUGGCAUAGAAUUCUUGUGGACAUAGGAGUCCUGGGUUGAGAUGUUUGAAUUAUAUUAGAGUCCGUAGAAUGUAAGAUUUCUUAUGGGCUUGACAAAAGGGGGGUUCGGUAUGAAACGAAUAGCUUGAGGACUCAUGAACCCCAUAUAUCAAAAGGAUGCUUGAGGACUUUUGCCCGAGGACACCGCCGACCAAAUCACGAUGAUGCAAGUCGCUACUCCUCGGGUGUAUUACCCCGAGGACUAUGUCACCCCGAGGACUGUGUGCCCCAAUAUGUGAUGAGCAAGACCCUGUGAGUCCUUGGGAAAAUCACCUCGGGAGGUUGCCAAAAGUGACUACAUCAGCUUUCAUUUGGAAAGUAAGCAUACCUUUGAUUUAUGUGUUGUAUAUUUGAAGAAGAAUAGAGGAUAUAAGAGUUCUUAUAUGCUGAAAGUAACACGAACAGUCUAGUUUCUAAGUUUUGACUGUAUAAAACUGCCACCCUCGAGGAGGAGACUAUGGAAAAGGAACUCAUAAGGUGCAAAAUGAGGAUGUUGUCAAGGAUAAUGCCACACAACCAGAAUAUGAAAACCUCUAGUUUCAAAUCGGCAAUCUUUGAAUGUAGUGUUCUGAUGAUGCAGACAAUACUAAUAUAUUCAGGUAUAUCAACGUCUAAUUAGAUAAUCAAGUUCUGUAAUAAAAAAAUUGUACUUAGUUAUACGAAUGAAUUGUUACUUAA
Long non-coding RNA from Olea europaea var. sylvestris, 1487 nucleotides. RefSeq lists it as uncharacterized. The record is from RefSeq and is a predicted model, not a curated record. The transcript has 2 exons. NCBI's taxonomy places the organism in Eukaryota, Viridiplantae, Streptophyta, Magnoliopsida, Lamiales, Oleaceae.